GGCAACGCUGCGGCCCCGCCCACGUCAUGGCGCCUGAGGAGAACGCGGGUACCAAACUCUUGCUGCAGAGUUUCGAGCGCCGCUUCCUAGCGGCGCGCACACUGCGCUCCUUCCCCUGGCAGGUGGGCGGCGGGGCGAGCGGAGAGGCCUGCGGGGCUUGCGGAAGUCCAGGGGCAGACGGGAUGGGUCUCCCUGCUGAAACCCCCGGCGCUCCUGCCACCACGAGGCUGUCCACACGGAGCUUUUGGACGAGCUGUACGAGGCGCUGGCAGAGACCCUGAUGGCCAAGGAGUCCACCCAGGGCCACUGGAGCUAUUUGCUGGCUGGGCUGGGAUCAGAUGGGAAGCGGAAGCUCAUCAUGACCAGAAACUGUUUCCCUAUGGAGAGCACUUGGAGAUGGCAAUGCUGAACCUCACACUGUAGGACUCAUACACGACUCCAACGGGAUUGUUAGAAUCAAAUCACUCUCGUGGGAAGAAUUUUUAUAUGGGAAAGCGGAUAAAACUUUCAUUGGACUGGAAUGUUUGGAGAAUGUUAAAUUCCAAAUCAGGAACCACAAUCUGCCCUCUAAUAAGACAUCGGCUAUCUAAGCAUGUGGGUGCCCCCUUUCUGCCAGCAGUUCUGGUUCUUAAGAAAAUCACCAUAAAUCAGACAUGAAAAUUCUGGCUCCAAAAA
This 675-nucleotide long non-coding RNA is filed under the name Homo sapiens (human). Its description in RNAcentral is "novel transcript". The record is from RNAcentral. Lineage: Eukaryota; Metazoa; Chordata; Mammalia; Primates; Hominidae.